Molecule: long non-coding RNA, 940 nt
Organism: Homo sapiens (human)
Lineage: Eukaryota; Metazoa; Chordata; Mammalia; Primates; Hominidae
Exons: 3
Source: RefSeq, a predicted model, not a curated record
CUCCAUGCCAGGUACAGUGUGUGCACUGAGCCCUCUGCCCUGGCAGGUAUUGGCAGGACUUCAAUUUCAAAACCCAGGCUGGUGUACUGACAAGGGCCUUCAUUUUCUUUAAUCAAAUCAUAGCUUCAAAGACUCUGCAGGACGCUGCUAGCAUGUGAAAUUCAGAAGUCAGCAGCCAUGACUCUUCACGUCUGUACCCGUAUUGCCUGGUACAAGGGAUAUCACAUAGUAGGUACACAAUCCCUAAAGUGAAAGAACCCCAGUUCAUUCGUCUCGUGGAAUCUCCACGAAGAGGCACAUUUUCCCCCCAGGCAGCAGCCACGGCUGAACAUUCGUGAGAAGCAAGAUGUCUUAACUGUCUGGCCUGUCUCGAGAAACUUGUAUUCUUGAGAUGUAGAUCCAUCAGCUGCAUCAAUUCACUGAAGAGGAAGCCCCAAAGUGGAGGGUGUAUGGUGCCCUUUCUGUACCGUGGUCACUCAGAAGAAUGAGAUCAAGAUCAACUGUCAACCGGGGAAGCCAGCUUCCGAGAUCAAAGAACUAGAGCCACACCUGAGAUCUGUUCUACAGCUGAACCAAGGAUGCUGAAGUUCCAAGGUUCAUGGGGGUACAUGUGCAGCUUUGUGACAUGAUAAACUGCAUGCCUCAGGGGUUUGGUGUACAGACAGUUUCAUCACCCAGGUAAUGAGCACAGUACGUGAGAGGGAGUUUUUUGAUUCUCGCCCUCCUCCCACCCUCUACCCUCGAGUUGCCCCCAGUGUCUUUGUUCCCUUCUUUAUGUCCAUGUGACCUCAAUGCUUAGCUCUCACUUCUAAGCGAGAACACGUGAUAUUUGCUUUCCUGUUCCCGUGUUAUUUCACUUAGGACAGUGGCCUCCACCUGGAUCCAUGUUACUGGAGAAGACAUGAUUUCAUUCUUUGACUGUGUAGUAUUGCAUGGUGUA